RNAcentral lists this ribosomal RNA (499 nucleotides) under uncultured bacterium. RNAcentral describes it as "bacterial SSU rRNA". It matches the Rfam family "Bacterial small subunit ribosomal RNA", at positions 29 to 521 of the family's 1533-position model. The record is from RNAcentral.
AACGAACGCUGGCGGCGCGCCUAAUACAUGCAAGUCGAGCGAGAAGGUGUAGCAAUACACUUGUAAAGCGGCGAACGGGUGAGGAAUACAUGGGUAAUCUACCAUCGAGUGGGGAAUAACCAACCGAAAGGUUGGCUAAUACCGCGUACGCCUCCGAGUCUUCGGGUUCGGAGGGAAAGCUGCACUGUGAGUGUAGCGCUCUUUGACGAGCUCAUGUCCUAUCAGCUUGUUGGUAGGGUAACGGCCUACCAAGGCUUUGACGGGUAGCUGGUCUGAGAGGACGAUCAGCCACACUGGCACUGCGACACGGGCCAGACUCCUACGGGAGGCAGCAGUAAGGAAUAUUGCGCAAUGGGCGAAAGCCUGACGCAGCGACGCCGCGUGGGGGAUGAAGGUCUUCGGAUUGUAAACCCCUUUCGGGAGGGAAGAUGGAACGAGCAAUCGUUCGGACGGUACCUCCAGAAGCAGCCACGGCCAACUUCGUGCCAGCAGCCGCGGU